GACAGCAGCAUUACCACCUUCUGUCCUGAUCUCGACAGAUCUCAGAAGCUAAGGCAAGCCUGGGCCUGGUCAGUACUGGGAUGGGAGACCUCUCAUGAAAACCAGGUUGUUGCAGUAA
This 118-nucleotide ribosomal RNA is filed under the name Lepisosteus oculatus (spotted gar). The record is from RNAcentral. Lineage: Eukaryota; Metazoa; Chordata; Actinopteri; Semionotiformes; Lepisosteidae.